This 12136-nucleotide long non-coding RNA is filed under the name Brassica napus (rape). RNAcentral describes it as "long non-coding RNA (BNAP_LNC003644)". Lineage: Eukaryota; Viridiplantae; Streptophyta; Magnoliopsida; Brassicales; Brassicaceae. The record is from RNAcentral.
GGUCACGGCGAUUAGGCGGACGUUCUAGGUCUCUGUCGUCGCGCCUCUCGCGGGAAUCUCUCUGAGGAGGCUGCUGCUGCUCUUGCGGCUCGUGUUCCUGCGGUGGAGGUGGAAGAGAGGGGGUAUUCUCCGGGGGACGGAUGUCGACGGAAUCCGGCGGAGGGAGCGUCACAUCGGCCAUUUAAGAGAAGAAGAUCGGAACCCUAAAUCGGGGUGUCAGGUUUGGUGCGAUACACACUCUCGCGUUUUAUAGGUCUGCCGUUACAACUUACAGUGAACCAUGACUCGCAUACCUAUCUCGGUCUUUAGAUAUUUUUUUUCAGAGAAAAUCAAUAAUUUAUAAUGUUUGUUGACCAAAAUAUUUAUCUAAUCAAAAGUCUUCAGAUUGGCAAAAAUAAUAAUAAUAAUAUCUAAUCCUUAAAAUUAAUAAUAAUGAUAUUUAAAUUUAUCAAAAUAUUAACAAUAAUUUUAAAAUAAAAAUGUAUAUAAGAUUUUUAAUUAUUUAUGUGUAUAUUAUUAUAAAAUAUAUAUAAAUUUUAUAUAUACUAUUAUAAAAUGAUUAUAUAAUAGAUAAAUUUAUUUUUUAUAUAUAGAUAUUACUAUUUUGAAAUAUUUAUCGAUAAAAAUUAAAGAUCCGAAUAUCCAAACUAAAAAAAUAAGAUAUCUAAAUCCAUAUUCGGUUUUGACGGAUCCAACAUUUUAUUAUCCAGAUUUGAAUCCGUUCGCUCUGGAUAUCUAAAUUUUUGGAAUGGAUCCGGAUCGGAUCUCGGAUCGAAUCAGGGUCUCCGAUAAUAAUUCCAGGCCUAUCAAACACCAUCCAAAAAAUAAUACAUAGUCAAAUAUUCACACAGAUUUAAAACUUUUAUAUUCAGAAAAUAGAAUUAAAAUCGAUCCGAAGCAAUUCAAAUGCCCGAAAAUAUCAAAAUAUUAUUUUUUACUUUUUUCUUGCGUCAAAUAGUAAACUUUAGAUCCACUCAGACCUUAAAGUUAGAGUUUAAUCUUACGUUUUGAGCAAACACAUAAAUCGACUUUUUUUCUAUGAUUCAAAAGAUUGUAAAGACAAUACAAUGAAGAUUAAGAGAAUGUAUAAAUUUGAAUACAACAAAGUAUCAGUUUUCACCUAGAGAGACUAGGGAAAAGCCUGCUGAUACGGUGAUUUCAUUUCCAUCAGAUUAAGCUGUAGCUUAGGAGAGGCUGAACGAGUUGGCUAUAGUAUCAUCUUAACAUUUUUUUUUUUUUUGGAUAAAAUUAACUGCAUGACUUUGAAUUUCUAUUUCGUUUUUUUUUGACAAGGUGUUCGUUGGAAUUUGAAAACUAUUAAGAACAACGUUUCUUCCUUUGAUGAUUGUUUAUUAAUUUAUGCAAAGUUUAUACAUUUUAUCGUCCAUUUUAUUAAGAAGAAAACAUAUGACCAGCAUAGAAUCCAAUCGACAGCAACAGAACCGCAGCCGCCGGAGCAACCACACCAACUGUGAGUUCUCUCUGAUUAUUCUUCAUCAUUGUCAUAUAUCCUCCAAGAUUCUCCUUGUAUGCAUUCAUUUUACUUCUAUAAUCUUGCUUAACUCCAUCACAAACGUUUCCCUUAAGAGCUUCUUCUUUCUCAGCCCGUUUCUUGUCUUCCUCUCUAGAUGGCGUUGGCAAUUGAGCUUUCUCAGCAUGUUUCUCUAGUUCCGCUUCUUUCUCUCUUGUUGGCUUUGUUGGUUGAACCUUCUCGGCUUCCUUAUGAACCGGGGGAGGUGUUGCUGCGGUUGUAACGAUGGGAGAAGUUUGUUUCCCCAUUGGCUCGAGUCUAGGGAGCUUCACAACAAGACUUGUGCCUACAAAUAUGGCAGCAAUGGAGUCAACGUUGAUGUUUUCCGGAAUAGGGAACUCCUUGCGGAGACGGAUCCAUCUGUUGGCUCCUGCAUGACGUUCUCCCAUCACUCUUACCUGCCUCGUUGAGGUUACUUGCACUUUAAGCUGCUCUUUCCUAAACCCUGUUUUAUGAAAAACCGAUCAAAAUAAUUCAAGAACCAUGAGUAAACAAAAAUCACAAUGCAAGUAAUACGAGAGAUUGUUGAUUAGUAAUAAUACCUGGAAGGUUAAUUGUGAGAAUUUCGAAUCCCUGUUCACUUUUCCAGUUAAAGACUGGAUCGAACUCAUCGUAGAUGCGGUUGGCAGUAGCAUGAUCAGCUUUUCUCUCCAUUUUCUGAAUUUUCUUGGUUUGUAUUUGGAUUUGGAAUUAAGGAUAUUAAUUUGGGUUAUGGUGAUAAGAGGGAUCCAAUCGAUUUCUUUAUGUACUAAUGAACAAAUGUAUUUUUUCAUAAGUUGUUUUCUUUGAGGUUAGGUUAUUCCUUUACUUAGCCUAACUGUUAUGGUCCCCUUCUAUAUUGUUCUUCCCCUUUUAUAUUCAAGUUUAUUUUCCAAAUCUCUAGAAAAUAAACAAAAAGGUUGAGAAAUGCGUUGCUUUAAAGAGAACAAAUAACAAGUUUUUCAGAUUGGACAACCAAAGUUUUUCUAUAAGAUUAUGCGUUUUUUUCCAAAGGAUUCUCUCAUUCCAAUAUAAUGCAAUGAAUUUUGACAUCAGCCUCAGUUCCAUUUCCAAAUUACCAAAAGCUUAAAUAGAUGUCACAACAGUCUUUACCAACAACCCAACAACGUUUAAUCAUCAAAAUGCACCAGACUCUUACCACUUAACAAUCCACUAGACUUUUUGAAAGAUUCAAGAAGUUUGAGGAUUUCCCAUUUGCCAAAACAGCAGUAAACAUUCUAGAGAUCAUUUGGAUUCGAACAAAAGGUGACAUGAGGUCGACCCUCUGGCCACACUAGCCAACUCGUUGAGCAUCUCUCGCCUCUUUUCCAACUUUUCCAGCUGUUUCGGCCCCGACGCAUGUUGGGUAGAAAGUUGCUUUCUUCAACUGUUUAGCAUUCUUGAGGAUGUAAGUGGCCACUUGUUUCUCAUCUUCUCGUUGCCAUCCGUAUCUUGUCCACACCAAUGUCUCCAGAUGAAGCAACAGACAUUUUGGUACACAUUUCGGCUGAGUCCAUUCCCAGCUCACUGGAGAACGUUCACGAUAACGAUAUGACUGACAAAAGCGCAAUUAAUAUGAUAUUAGAUCAUCAUAAUAUAUGAAUAAAAAGAAGCUCUGGAAACAACUUGUGGUAAAUUGCUAACACCAAAGAGCUUGAGGAUUUGCAAUUUAGGAGAGCUAUCGAGCAUGAAGGAAAGUAGAUUCCACCCAUUUAUUUCAUUUAUAUGCAGCUCCAAAGAGACCAGCUGAUAGAAGAUGCUACCAGUAGGACACUUAAUCUGUGGAUAGAUGGUUAAGCAUUAGUACAGAAAAAACAAUGGCAGAUACAAAAACGGUGUUAAAUUUUACCUCUAAGGGUAAGUGAAAGGAAAGACAUUUGGGUGAAGUUAGAGAUGCAAUGAUGUUCUCAUUGGCUAUAUGAGAAACAUUUUUGAUAUUUGCUUCCACCAGCUCUGGCGCAUUCUCAAUUAGACAGAAGUCAAUAAAACCGAGGCAUUCGAUGCUCAAGUACUUCAAAGAUGGUGCAUUAAUCACAUAGCCUCCAUCAUUUACAUCUGUGCUACAAUCCUCUUCUAUGGUUAGCCUCUGCAGUGAUGGCACUGCAAUAGAGUAAGUCUCCACAUUUGCAUUGCUAUAUCGUUUCACAACCAAAUCUUGAAGCCUAGGGCAGCCAGAAAAAAGGUUGCAAACAGAUUCUUCAUCUUUGAAUUCCACGUAGUAAAGAUGCAGCUUUCUAGGGGCAUUGAAACAAACCCGAGAAGGGAAGCUUUAAUACCUCGAGUGUAUUGUUGUAGCUACACAAUACACUUGGAAACUUUACUGUCUCUUGAUCCUCACGGAAGAGAUGCAACACCAAUUCACGCACAUGGCGUGAAAAUGCAAUUCCAAUCAAGAAACCAAUAUCCGAACGACCUUUUGUAUCUUCGAUGUCCAAAUGCAAACUUUCCAGAACUGGAGCUUUAUGCAAAAAUCAGCGACCUGUAAACAGCCUCUGAAGAGACAUGUUCCAUAUCAAAUUCAAACUCGAGCUUUGGCACCAUCUUCCAAAGAGAUCUCCACCGUUUGGACAAAACACUCGUUGCUAUGACAUCUUUUGUUGGAACAUAAGACAAUAUAUGCAGGAGCAAAGCUUCAGGCAACUCACUGAUCCUAUCCUCAUUCAUACCAUAAGACAAUAUAUGCUGUAACAAAAAAAUAAAAAUCAAAUAACUAAAGAUAUAUAGGUUUUAGGGUUGAAACAAAUUAGGAUUGGAUCUUUACAGUUAAUAAAACCAGAGAAAUGGAUUCCAACCAAAGCACAUAAAAAUGGAUUGCAAACAGAGAGACAUAUACCGUUUUCGUUCCAUUUCCGUGAACAGAAACAAACAAUAAUUCCUUCAGAUUAAGAUGCGCUCCGAACGCAAAGACAAACACAUAACACAGCCUACACACGAAUCUGGCUAAAGCUUAGAGAUGUCGUCAAUUGUGUUUAGUAGUAAAAGGAUGAGCGAGCCGCAAGAGAAAAAGGAAAACAAACGGAGAAACAACAGUGAAAAAAGUAGAAAGAAUCUGGAGACAAGGAAGACGAGAAGUCAAGUGAAAGAGGAUACUGAAACCGACCGCUUUUCUUUUGGGUUUACAAUCAAACCGAAUCAAACGAAAAGCGAGGAACCAAACUGAUUAACCUAAUCCGGAUCGGAUUCGAGUAUGCUGUUAGUGUUAAACCCUGGCCGUCUUUUGCAUUGUAUAAUAUUUAGUUAGUUACAUAGUUAGUUAGUUAGUUACCUACGAUUUGACGGACAUAAAUAAUAUUUUUUUUAAAUAAAAAAUCUAAUGUAAUAUCUAUUUUAUGUUCUGACACGUGCAAUAUUUUUUAAUUAAAUUUAAAUUUUAUUUGUUAUAUAUUUUCUAAAUAAUAAGAUUUUAUAUAUUUAUUCAUUUUUUAUUUCUUUAUUACUUUAAAAAAUAUAAGCAUAACUUUUGUAAUAUUUUUAUUAGAGCUUUUAUCAACAACUACAAUAAAUAGUUAAUGCAUGCUUUAAUAUAAUUUCUUACAGUCUGAUUAAAUUUAUAUGUUAUGUAAUAUUGAACCUUUUUAUUUUAAAAAGUCAAUUUAUUUAUACUACAUGAUAUUUACACCUAUCAGUAAUAUAUUCUAAAAUGAUAUGUACAUGAUAACAUACAUGAUAUUUGCUAAAAGUUAUAUAUAUGUACAUGACAAUAAUUGCUAAAAAUCACUAAACAUUUCAUCGCUUUAUAUGGUUUGGAAUAAAUCACCAUGUAGGUUAUUUUAACGUUAAACAUGCAAUAUUCUGAAAUAAAUAAUUUAAUAAUUCUUAUUGGAGAAUUCAUAUAUAAUUAUAAACAACUGUCACUGAAAUAGUUAGGAUACAUUACAAAAAUUUUGGCACUCCAUAUAUAUAGAGUCGAUAUUGCUUGUAUUAUUCAUAAAAGUCAAUCUCUUAUGCAUGUCUUUUCUUUGUAAAACUGAAAAAUUGGAUAUUCAUAAAAAAAAAUUGGUUACAUAUUAUUUAUUAUAAAAAUUUAUGGAAUAAAUAGUGUAUACAAAGUUAAUCUUACGACACUAAAAAGGCUUAAUGCUCAAUAGCCAAGGUGUCCACGUAUUUAAUUAAAUCGACCACUCACAAAGAUUUUAAUUGGCCACGUCACAAGAGCUUUCUCCUUUUAAAACAAAAAUUGGUCCUUCUUUUGGGCUGAGUUUACAUUUUUAAACGUUCCAAUUCAAGCCCAAGCUUACUUUAGUCCCGGAAGCGUUGGUUUUCAUCUUCUCCGACUCUUCCACUUUGUCGUUACGCCGUUAUGCCGUUACGGUAACCCACUCUUCAACAAUCUGUUAUGAUCGUAAAUCAUUUUUAAUGGUUUCUUUCCACACCAAUCUGUUAUGAUCUUAAAUAAAACGCUUCAUCUGAUCUUAGAUGCUCAAUUAGUGAGUACUCUAGGAUCUGGUUUACAUAUGUUUGUUCUAUAUUUGGGUCUUGGUGUUGCUUUAUUCACCAUAAAACCAAAUGAUUUGCAUGCGGGUAGAUUUAAAAAGUUUUAUAAAUGUCACAAUUCAUUUGCAGAGAAGUCCUUCGUGGCUUGAUAAACCUAGCAUAUUGCCACAGGGUCAGAUAGAAACCAUCCUUUGGGGUUUAGAACAUCUUAUGGAAAACUCCAUCUUUACUGUAUCUCAAGGGCAGCUGAAAAUUCCAUUUGCCCAACUUUUUACGGACAAUUCAAACUUAUUUGAUGUUUGCUAACAAAUCUUCUUCCUGUUUUUUCUUUAUCUAGGUGGGAGCUAACUUACGGAGUGUAGAUUUUGGAAUAACUCUGACACAUAGAGAAAAAACAAUUUAGCAGCAAGAGAUUGCUAAUUGCUGCCUCUAUGCAGCCAGUCUCUCUGCCCGAAAAAUGGAAGAACUGGAGACAUGUUUGGUGAUGAUAAUAGAUUCAUUGCUAAACACGUAAAUCAGAUCAAAGGCUGUUUAUUAUCACACUUAGUCACUCACAAUACCUCAACUUCUUCACAAUUCUGAUUCUUGAUUCGGUACGUCUUAUAUGCGUCUUCUGAAUAAUUCAAUGCUCCUUCCAGAGUUAUAGUUGUCUCUUUUUGGAAUAUGAAUAGAUAAUAUCAUAAUCAUAAAUGUGAUCCAAUUAGGAUCAACUAAUUGUUGUCUUAUUUAAGUUUUUUCGAUUAUUGUGGAUUUGUAAUGAUUUUUACUGGAUGGUGUUGUUUUGAUAGAUUGGAUGAACUAAUGAAUAGGCAUGAACACUUUCUUAUCAUGUGCUUACAGGAAGAAGGGACAGUGGGCGUUUAAUGUUGGCGGUGUGGUUCUACCGUCACCGUCCACCUCAGUAGAGGAGUCAUUGGCAUAUUUCAAUUCCAAUGGUCUUGACGUUUGGUACAUGACUACUUUUCUAGGUAACUUAUCAUUUUCCCCUUUGGAUCUUUCUCUAGCUUCUUUUACAAGUCUAGGCUCUCUAUUCAUUUAAUUCAAUAAAAGUUGUUCUGUAUUUGAUCCUCCUCAGAUGCUCAGGUUCAAGCUAGAUUCUUAAGCUUGCUAUUGGCUACGAGAAGUAUGUCAAGUCAUCUUAUUUGAAAAGGUGAUUUUCUCUGGAAUUAGUAUGUUUAUAGGUAUAUAAUUUUUCAGUGAAAUGACUCUUUUUUUGGGUCCAAAUCAUACAUUGAAAUUGGAAGAGCUUGGCAUAAAACUUUUAUGGUCGUUGCAUCUUGAAGCUAACUUGGUUUCUCUAAUCUAGAAAACCACACUACUCGAUUUGACAUAAUCAGGCAGAUGUACAAUAUAUUUUAUUGGUUUUUUGUCAGUUAUUUCUUUUUAAUUUCGGGUCAUCUCUUAUAUAAUCCAUGAUAUAUUGAUUAACAACAAAAAUGAGAAAUUUGUGACAUGUGCAUUGCUAAGCCAAGGUUUUUUUAUAUAAACUUCUUAUCUUACAAAAGAGCUUAUUUUUUGUUGAAGAUGUCAAGUGAACACCAAGGCCGUAGUUAAUGUUAUAAUUUUCACCCUCGAAGCAAAAGUUAUAAUUUGUCACAUUACUUUGUUUCUUUGUUUUAAACUAUACCAAAAACUCAAGUAUUACAUUUCAUAUUUGCAUUUUGAGAUACUUGACUAUGCAGUUGACAGAACUUUCUGAGGAAGAUAAGAAAACGUUGGUUUUUUUUUUUUUUUUCAACAAAGAAGCAGAGGCGUUUGGUCAAACAAGAACAUCCCCCCCUCCCCCACACCAUUUUAUGCCAAUUUACUGAUUAAAAGAACCCUAUUUUGGUAUAUAGGUAGAUGAUCAUAACUUUUUCAUAUUUGCAGAUCUGGUAAGAGAAUAGUGGUGUAAUGAUGUUAAUAUCCUUUUCAUCGUGUCUCAAACCUGUCUGCAAAUAACAUUGAAGACAAAAAAUAACAACUGAUCUUUAUUAAGAUUGGAGAAGGAGUAAAGAUUGUUUAAGACUAGAAGAGACUAUAUGAUGAAAACAAAGAGGAAGAGUUUCAAAAAAAAAAGAAGCAAGAGGAAGAAAUAGAUGUAGGCGUAUGGAUAGAUACAUAUGAAGAGGGAGACGUAAUAUCAAUUGUCCGAGAUCGAUAGAGGUAGAUAUGCAGGAUUACGCUUGGGUUUAUAGAAUUUGCACAUUGACUUAUCAAUAUAGCUAAUUAUACUUUCUUUCAUAGUCAUCUAGUGCAAAUUCCCUUAAAAAAGUAAUCAAUAAGAAGAUGGACUUUUUGAACAUUUCGUUGAGUGAAAGACCCAUGAACAUUUAGUUGAUAUUUUACCCAACCUAAGACUAUGAAUAUUUGUUUCAAUACUCAGCACCUUUUUAUUUUCAACAUUCCAUAACAUGUUUUCCCACCUAAUAAUUUAAUAUUCUUUUAAUCUCUAUAAUGAUUUUGUAUACUAAAAUAAAUCAACAGAGCCUCUAACAAAAAUAAUUACUAUUAAAAGUCAAAAGACAAGUAAAAUUUGCUAGUCAUAAGCAAGGCACGUAAGACAUACCAUAUAUGUAGUUAUUUCAAUGAUAAAAUGGCUAGGAUUUUUACUCAGAUUGCUACAAUUUCAUAUUAUAAGAAAAAAUAAUAUAUCUUAUUUCGCUGUUAAGAGGUUUUGUAUAGAGAUACAAUGAAAAAAACUUUGAAACCAAAUAAAAUUUAGAAAGCAAAUAAACUUCGAAAAUCAAUUGUGUUUUAUUGUUGAGGACAAAUUUGGCAUGUUGAGUACACAACUAACAUGUAACAGAAACUUGUUUAUUGCUGAGUACAAAUUUGGCAUGUAGAAAAUAGUUUAGAUUGAUGGUCACAAAGAGUUAUAAAAUAUUGGGAAAGUCUCAUUCGUUUUAUUUCCCAAGACCUGACAUCUCUCUAUAGCUUUCUCCCUUUGCCUACAAGCUCCUAUAAUCAAUAACGGUUACCUCUUCCUCUGGAGCAUCUAGGUCUUGGUAGCUGCAUCAUAUUUUUCAGUAACAUUAGUUUCUUAUAGAAACUACUCUCUUGUUCAAAGGUAACCGACUCUGGGUUGAAAGCAAUGUGUGAUGAUCAUACUCAUAGCGUAGAGUGAAACACAUUACCUGCGUAGCCGUCUAGGAUCCUGUCUAAAGGCCGGAGACAAAAGGAAAGGGGCUGGUCCACCUCUGCCACCACCUUCUAAAGGAGGGUUGGGUCCGCUUGGGUCCCUGAACAUCUGCAUUGCAAACUCAGGUGGUGCUGGUACAAAUGGUCCUAGUGGCCUGUCCACAUCAUCAUUCAGACAACAUUACAGAUCACUAGAGUUAUACUAAGAUCAUGUGAGAGUGAGUAGUCAUUGCUAAACCUACCCGGCACCGGGAACAGGCAUCAGCACUGGCGGUGCGUUCAUAUCAGCAGAGUAGGAAGGAACAUGAACGCCGCCUUGUCCACCAAAUGCAUCGUAACCACCUUCCUCUGGAUUUGGACCAUUAGGACCGUUACCAUCACCUCUCUGCUGAUCCUCUGACCGAUCAAUUCUGUCACGCUCUCUGCGUCCACCUCGAUCAUCCCUCAAUCUGCUCUCCAUGCUUGGUUUACGUCUCAUCAUAGGUCUAUCUCUCUGCCAAUGGUAUGUUCCACCCACGUAAAUAAAACUCAAAAUUAUAGACUACUCAACAUUCGAUCAACUGAUGAAAAACAUCAUUUACCGGGCCAGGUUGCUGCGUGGCUGGUUGUCCUCCUGGAGCAUUAGGAUCACUGCAAAUGGCACACAAAUAUUUCAUUACAACCCGAUCAGAAAUAACAGAAGAGGAAAUCCACUAGAAACGGCCUACAUACUUCAUAUAGUUCUGAAAAUACAGUUCUUCUCGCACUUUGACAGUCAUAUCAACUAUAAGCUCAGCGUGCUUCAGCUUGAGAUGCUUGUGAACAAAUUCAGCAGCAUGAAACAGUUUCGUGCAGCCUUUAGCUCCACACCCAUAUUUCCAACCAUACUUCUCAUCCCUAAUCUUUCGGACAUGUGGAUCUAAAGCUUCAAUAGCAGCAGCAUCUAGCUUCUCUUUGGCAGCCAACACUUCCAGUGGAUCUUGACCUUUCAACCUCUGUUGCCAAUGAGAAUCAAAUUUAUCUUCGCCCUCAUCUCCUUUUGCAUCAGAGCCUUUUCCUUCCGCUCUCACAUGCCGCAGACCCUUAGCUUCGCUUGUUUCAACCUUUCCGUAAUAGUCCACACCAUGAACACGCCAGAGAUACGUGAUAAGAGUGUCAAGCAAUUCAACACCCUCAAGGCCUUUCACAGAUGUCAAACCUCUUAUGAUUAUAACUGGACCUGUCGAACCACUGUGCGACUUAUCUUUAUCCGACUUUUCAGUUUCUGAGCCUGAUAAAACAUUCUCCACAAUUCCUUUCUCAGAGUCCAGCUUACGAACAAGGGCUUGUGCUUGUUCGAUGUCGGUUAGGAUUCUCUUUGGAUCAGAAGUGAAGCUGGGUGCUUUUGGUGCCGCUGAAAAGUCAAUCUCUUUACCUCUUUUGCCACCACCACCACCACCUGCUUCAUCCUCAGACUUUGGCUCACUUGUUUUAUUCAAUGCUGUCACUGCAGGACCUCUGGAACAGAUCGAAGAACACACUGUGGGCUUUAGAGAUGGCAGAAUUAUCAUAAUCAUAAAUGCGGAGUAGAGGCCAAGGAAAUGAUCUUACAAAUCAAGAUUCCCGCUCUGUAAGUCAAGUGAGAAGUCCUUCGCCAGCUUCCGUGCAUGUUCAUUCCUCCUGAAAAUUUAAAGGAAUAGAUAAAGAAAAUAAGAUAUCAUAUUACACAAAACAGACUAACUGCUGCAAUUUUCAAAGGAAUUGAACUCACUUUUCUAUGACAGUUAGCAAGUUGGUUGGAUGAUACUUGUCUUUUAACCUGGAAGCGUAACAUAAUAUAAGCAUGAAUUUCCCAAAAGAAAGCAAACGAUGGGAACAGAUAGUGGAAAUCACCAUUCUUCCUCUUUGUGAGUGUUAAAAUAGACACGCUUCUGUGUUGUGAUAUACUCUGACUUGUAUUCUUGAUAUCUGCAACAAACAGAAAAAAAAAAGACAUUACCCCUGCAGCUUUAAGUACAAAGACAAUUUUGCAAUUAUAACCAUACCUGCGUUCAGCUUCUGAUGGCAAUAUAUCAUCUUCCAGCUCCUGGAUAAACUGUUUGUAUGACAUCAAUCCGUCCCUGGAUUAAAGAAAUACAACGGUGUUUACAGCUAUAACAACGGCAAGGGCGUCUACAAACAGCCUCUAUCUUAAAAAGUGAAAGAGAACAAAAAAGACGGCUUUAUCUGGAACUUAAACAGCUGAAAUAGAGAUGAUAGACUUCAACAUCUCAAACAUUCACUCUAACAUACAACUCUUUACAAGGGAUGUAUCUCCCUUUCACUGAGCAUCAUUCAUACUUCCUAGUUUGCACAUUCACUAGACCAAAAAAGAACAUAAUAGAAGAGGGAACUCUGACCUUUGAGUACUUCCUCUGUUAGAUGCAUCACCAUAACCUCCACGACCUCCCUCCCAGUCUUGAUAUCUCCCCGUAAAGCGGCCAGGAGGUCUUUCAUCACCGUAACCAUGCCUUCCUCCCAUUUCACGGUCAUUCUCAUAUCCAAAUCUAUCAUCGAAACUUAAGAAUCAGAAACGCAAUUCGAUCUUCUAUACAAACUAUUAGGUAGCAACAACGCAACGUCUUAGAUCAGAUUGGCGUUUCGAAGCAUAUAGGAGAUGAAGAUUGAUUACCUUCUAUCGGGAGGUCCAUAGCCACCACCACCACCACGCCGACCAUCGUAUCCAUUAUCGUCCCUCCGGUAUCGCUUGGAAGGAGGAGGCGAGCGGCGCAUGGGAGGAGAGUGCCGCCUGUCUCUGUACGGCGGCGGAGGGCUCCCGCUAGGCCGCCUCUUGUAGUCCCUGCGGGGCGGCGGCGGCGGGAGGGGAGAACGGUCACGGCGAUUAGGCGGACGUUCUAGGUCUCUGUCGUCGCGCCUCUCGCGGGAAUCUCUCUGAGGAGGCUGCUGCUGCUCUUGCGGCUCGUGUUCCUGCGGUGGAGGUGGAAGAGAGGGGGUAUUCUCCGGGGGACGGAUGUCGACGGAAUCCGGCGGAGGGAGCGUCACAUCGGCCAUUUAAGAGAAGAAGAUCGGAACCCUAAAUCGGGGUGUCAGGUUUGGUGCGAUACACACUCUCGC